Pomacea canaliculata is the source of this 557-nucleotide long non-coding RNA. RefSeq lists it as uncharacterized. The record is from RefSeq and is a predicted model, not a curated record. NCBI's taxonomy places the organism in Eukaryota, Metazoa, Mollusca, Gastropoda, Architaenioglossa, Ampullariidae. The transcript is spliced from 2 exons.
UAAACAACUUCUACACUUUGAAACAAUGUAGAGAAGAGAGAUAGGACUUCCUGAUACAGACACACACCGUGCAUAAACUCAGCCCCUCUAGCAGUUUGCAGUCACAGUCGCCAGGUUUCGACUCUUUUUUCGCAAAUUGUUACUCAUUGGAACAACAUGAAGCUCACCGUGCUCAUCGUCCUUUUGCUCAUCGGCUCCAUUUAUGCUUGGUCACAUGUCUGCACUAAGCCCAAACAAAUUGGUAACUGCAAAGCGAGAAAGAAAGAGGUACUACUUCAACUGGAUGGAAAAUCGUUGCGAGAUAUUUUUCUACGGAGGCUGUCAUGGCAAUGCCAACAACUUCCAUACGGAAGAAUCCUGCAAGAAGACAUGCAUGUGAUUCUCGGCAGUAUGACAUCACACAAGAAAUGGAAACCAAACUUUAUAUUGAUAAUAUCUCGUACGCAGUCUCAAGAAAAUUCUGAGUUCGCUUAGUUGCCAAACGUCCUAAAAAUUGUGUACAGCGGUCUUAAAGUAUUUUUUUUUAUUCAAACUCAAAAUAAAAACGUAAAUAAUAA